GGGAGGCAAGAUGUUGGCAUAGCUGAUGAGUUAAGAACCUGCUAUGCCAACAUAUUGCCCU
This 61-nucleotide microRNA precursor is filed under the name Podarcis lilfordi (Lilford's wall lizard). It matches the Rfam family "mir-31 microRNA precursor family", at positions 13 to 70 of the family's 83-position model. The record is from RNAcentral. Lineage: Eukaryota; Metazoa; Chordata; Lepidosauria; Squamata; Lacertidae.